UCAGGAUGAACGCUAGCUACAGGCUAACACAUGCAAGUCGAGGGGCAGCAUUGGGAUAGCUGCUAUUCAGAUGGCGACCGGCGCACGGGUGAGUAACGCGUAUCCAACCUCCUGCCAGUAGGGAACAGCCCGGCGAAAGUCGGAUUAAUGCCCUAUGUUCUUCAAUGCGGACAUCUAAGUUGAAGGAAAGAUUCAUCGCUGGCAGAUGGGGAUGCGUCCGAUUAGCUUGCCGGCGGGGUAACGGCCCACCGGGGCGACGAUCGGUAGGGGUUCUGAGAGGAAGGUCCCCCACACUGGUACUGAGACACGGACCAGACUCCUACGGGAGGCAGCAGUGAGGAAUAUUGGUCAAUGGGCGUAAGCCUGAACCAGCCAAGUAGCGUGCAAGGAUGACGGCCCUACGGGUUGUAAACUGCUUUUAUGCGGGGAUAAAGUGCGGCACGUGUGCCGCUUUGCAGGUACCGCAUGAAUAAGGACCGGCUAAUUCCGUGCCAGCAGCCGC
RNAcentral lists this ribosomal RNA (502 nucleotides) under uncultured bacterium. RNAcentral's name for it is "bacterial SSU rRNA". It matches the Rfam family "Bacterial small subunit ribosomal RNA", at positions 24 to 518 of the family's 1533-position model. The record is from RNAcentral.